GACGAACGCUGGCGGCGUGCCUAAUACAUGCAAGUCGAGCGGACGUUUUUGAAGCUUGCUUCUAAAACGUUAGCGGCGGACGGGUGAGUAACACGUGGGCAACCUACCUUAUCGACUGGGAUAACUCCGGGAAACCGGGGCUAAUACCGGAUAAAAUAUAGCACAUCCCGGUCCCGGAUUAAAAGAGGGCUUCUUGCUCUCACGAUGGGAUGGGCCCGCGGAGCAGAAGCUAGUUGGAGAGGUAACGGCUCCCCAAGGCGACGAUGCUGAGGCGACCUUGGAGGGUGAUCGGCCACACUGGGACUGAGACACGGCCCAGACUCCUACGGGAGGCAGCAGGAGGGAAUCUUCCGCAAUGGACGAAAGUCUGACGGAGCAACGCCGCGUGAGUGAUGAAGGGUUUCGGCUCGUAAAGCUCUGUUAUGAGGGAAGAACACGUACCGUUCGAAUAGGGCGGUACCUUGACGGUACCUCAUCAGAAAGCCACGGCUAACUACGUGCCAGCAGCCGCGGUAA
Molecule: ribosomal RNA, 516 nt
Filed under: uncultured bacterium
Lineage: Bacteria
Description: partial 16S ribosomal RNA
Rfam family: Bacterial small subunit ribosomal RNA
Source: RNAcentral